This 497-nucleotide ribosomal RNA is filed under the name uncultured bacterium. Its description in RNAcentral is "partial 16S ribosomal RNA". It matches the Rfam family "Bacterial small subunit ribosomal RNA", at positions 28 to 507 of the family's 1533-position model. The record is from RNAcentral.
GAUGAACGCUGGCGGCGUGCCUAAUACAUGCAAGUCGAGCGAACAGACGAGGAGCUUGCUCCUCUGACGUUAGCGGCGGACGGGUGAGUAACACGUGGAUAACCUACCUAUAAGACUGGGAUAACUUCGGGAAACCGGAGCUAAUACCGGAUAAUAUAUUGAACCGCAUGGUUCACUAGUGAAAGACGGUUUUGCUUUCACUUAUAGAUGGAUCCGCGCCGCAUUAGCUAGUUGGUAAGGUAACGGCUUACCAAGGCAACGAUGCGUAGCCGACCUGAGAGGGUGAUCGGCCACACUGGAACUGAGACACGGUCCAGACUCCUACGGGAGGCAGCAGUAGGGAAUCUUCCGCAAUGGGCGAAAGCCUGACGGAGCAACGCCGCGUGAGUGAUGAAGGUCUUCGGAUCGUAAAACUCUGUUAUUAGGGAAGAACAAAUGUGUAAGUAACUAUGCACGUAUUGACGGUACCUAAUCAGAAAGCCACGGCUAACUACGUG